GCGGUGGAGCAUGUGGUUUAAUUCGAUGCAACGCGAAGAACCUUACCUGGGCUUGACAUCCCGGGAAUCCUUGGAAACAGGGAGUGCCCUUCGGGGAACCUGGAGACAGGUGCUGCAUGGCUGUCGUCAGCUCGUGUCGUGAGAUGUAGGGUUAAGUCCUGCAACGAGCGCAACCCCUGUUUCCAGUUGCCAUCAAGUAAAGUUGGGGACUCUGGAGAGACUGCCUGCGCAAGCAGAGAGGAAGGUGGGGAUGACGUCAAGUCAGCACGGCCCUUACGUCCAGGGCUACACACGUGCUACAAUGGCCGGUACAGAGGGCAGCGACCUGGUGACAGGUAGCGAAUCUCCAAAGCCGGUCUCAGUUCGGAUCGGAGUCUGCAACUCGACUCCGUGAAGCUGGAUUCGCUAGUAACCGCGAAUCAGCAGGUCGCGGUGAAUACGUUCCCGGGCCUU
Molecule: ribosomal RNA, 453 nt
Filed under: uncultured Bacteroidales bacterium
Lineage: Bacteria; Pseudomonadati; Bacteroidota; Bacteroidia; Bacteroidales
Description: bacterial SSU rRNA
Rfam family: Bacterial small subunit ribosomal RNA
Source: RNAcentral